UAAGUAGGCGGUGGAAAAUGAACCAAAUGGGAUUCCUUAAGUAAUUGCGAAUGAACAAGGAACUGCUCAGCUUGAAAAUUGGGGCCUUCGGCCUUGAAUUGUAAUUUUGAAAUGUAUUGCCAAUGGAGGCGCAGGUGCAAGCCUAUUGAAAGAAAGCGUCAAUGAGGGUGAGAUUCCUUUUUGUCAUUUGCAGUCCUCCGUGCACGGUAUAUAUUUGACGAGUCACACUCCUUGGCAUUGGAAUGCAAAGUGGGUGGUAAAUUCCAUGUAAAGGAAAAUAUAUUAUUGAGACUGAUAGCAAACAAGUACCAUGAGGGAAAUAUGAAAAGGACUUUGAAAAGAGAAUUAAAAGAGUCUGCAUUUGCUGAACAGAAAGCAAACAGAAUUGAUCUACUUGGUGAGAUUGUUGCGUCCACUUGUGGGUGCAAUGGUUCUUGCCUUGAAUGUCAGCGUCUAUUUCUGCAAAUUAUUACUCUUGCAUAUGAAUUGUAAUUUGCCUGUGGGCAUUGGAAUGCAUGUGUUUGCAAUGAUUUGUGAUUUGAUACAUGUGUCUGGUGUUCGCGUGUGUGCCUUCUUGCUAACACGGGGAGGGCUCUCCUCCCUGGGCACUGCAUGCCCUUGCACAUUGUUGCUGGCAAAAUGUUUCUGCUUGACCCG
RNAcentral lists this ribosomal RNA (657 nucleotides) under Alexandrium ostenfeldii. RNAcentral's name for it is "LSU rRNA". It matches the Rfam family "Eukaryotic large subunit ribosomal RNA", at positions 43 to 651 of the family's 3401-position model. Lineage: Eukaryota; Dinophyceae; Gonyaulacales; Pyrocystaceae. The record is from RNAcentral.